GUUUGCUAAGCAGCAUCUCCGGAACAGCCCCCGUGCUAUAUGUUGUUUCUUGUGCUGGAUCUCCCAGGUGGAUCCCGGACAGGAUGCUGCAGGUGGUGCAGGAAGGCAAUCUUGCCCCAUUCGUCAUCAACACAGUGAAAAGGGGUCGAAGAGACCGAGAGCGCCAGAGGACGCCACGGGCUCCACAUCCGCUUGGACUCCGGGAAGUAAGCCUCUAGACUUCAGGAAUGAGCAAGUCCAACCGUUUGGUUUGAGCCUAUUGCUUCCAAGAAAAGCGUGGAAAAAUCCUGAGACCUCCUCCCCUCGCCCUUCGUCCAUUUCAGGGGACCGAGUGUCUCCACGGAACUUCACCAGGGAGGCAAAGAGUGCACUCAUUAUUAUUUGUCUUGUCUUCGUUUCAGAGGCUAUACAUCUGCGAAAGCCCUAAUCACAGAGGGAACGACUGCUCGUUCCUGGCCCAGAAAUGAGAUGAGAAAUCCAAGGCCCCGUACAGGAAGG
This 498-nucleotide long non-coding RNA is filed under the name Macaca nemestrina (pig-tailed macaque). RNAcentral describes it as "lncRNA (ENSMNEG00000045830.1)". The record is from RNAcentral. Lineage: Eukaryota; Metazoa; Chordata; Mammalia; Primates; Cercopithecidae.